GAUCACAGCAGGAGAUCAGAGGCGGGACUUCCGAGCCGACAGAAUUAACGUUUCUCCUUGAUUUAAAAACUUCAGCUUUCCAUUUCAAAGCAAGGCAACAGUGGGAGCUCAGAGGACUGAAAUGGACUGGUUCCACUGUAAUCAUUGCUUCACAAGGAGUGGUUCAAAGUUCGCUGUGUCCAGCUGUGGCCACAUCUGCUGUGAAGCAUGCAUUAAAUCUAAGCAGUGCAGCGUAUGUGGGGCCAGCUGCAGUUAUCUGCCCAUCACAGAUGAGAUGAAGCCUCAGGAAAAGGUGUUUUUCAAGGACCCUGUGAAGCUCAUCCAGUCACGACUCGAUCACAUCUCGCAGAUUGCGCUCUUUCAGAGGACACACAUGGAGAGAGUCACAGCGCACUUCAAACACAAGUCUGUUGAACUGGAAAGGCGUCUGAAGGAAGUCACUGAGCAGGGUUACAGGCAACUCUCCGAGCUGAAAAGAGAAAACGAUGACUUAAAAAAGCAGCUUUCAGAGCUGAGAAGAGAGACUGCUGAUUUGAAAAAGCCACUUUCUCAGCGGAGGCUUGUACACUUUCUGUUUGCCACAGGUUUCUCCAGGACAAUUUCAUACAGAUGGAAGUCAGAGACUGUCACUCCCUGUGGCUGUCACCUCCCCAGUUACCCCACGUUCAAGACCUAUGGGUUACUUAGGCUCAGCAGAGUCUCAAGUGUGGACCAGAGACAGAGGUCCCAGUUUAUCCUCGGUCAGAACUCCUGGAUCAGCUACCUCUCUAUCAAGCCAUAGUUCUCAGGGGUCACAUGUACACAGAACACCUACAUCCUACUCCACUCCUACAAGAAAUCGGCGUCAGACUCCUAACGUCUUCCAGUACCAGUUUAUGAGUGGAUUAUCAAUACAGUCACCCAGACGUUGAUAAAGGCACCCAACACUUCUGGGGACAACUUUUAUCAGUUAAGGAGUCUUCAAGCUUUCAUAUUUGUUAUCAUUAGGACUGUCAGUUUGUUGAAGAUACAUUUAUGUUAAUACCAAGUAACAGUUUGUACCAGUGAUUGAAUAUAUGGCAUUAAUUUUAGGCAUUUUAUAAUUAAGUUUAAAUGGAUGUUCUGCUGAUUUUACCAUGUGGUUCCUCUGUUUAUACAUUUUCGGCAUUCGUUUAUUAUUAGAAUAAUUUCUGCAGACUGCUUUUGCUAAACAUACAUAAAAUGCACACUGAUAAAAUAAUUAAAAUUU
Centropristis striata (black sea bass) is the source of this 1228-nucleotide RNA transcript. It is a transcript of the gene named RING finger protein 212B-like, with no coding region annotated. The transcript has 13 exons. Lineage: Eukaryota; Metazoa; Chordata; Actinopteri; Perciformes; Serranidae. The record is from RefSeq and is a predicted model, not a curated record.